AAAUUGAAGAGUUUGAUCAUGGCUCAGAUUGAACGCUGGCGGCAGGCCUAACACAUGCAAGUCGAACGGUAACAGGAAGAAGCUUGCUUCUUUGCUGACGAGUGGCGGACGGGUGAGUAAUGUCUGGGAAACUGCCUGAUGGAGGGGGAUAACUACUGGAAACGGUAGCUAAUACCGCAUAACGUCGCAAGACCAAAGAGGGGGACCUUCGGGCCUCUUGCCAUCGGAUGUGCCCAGAUGGGAUUAGCUUGUUGGUGGGGUAACGGCUCACCAAGGCGACGAUCCCUAGCUGGUCUGAGAGGAUGACCAGCCACACUGGAACUGAGACACGGUCCAGACUCCUACGGGAGGCAGCAGUGGGGAAUAUUGCACAAUGGGCGCAAGCCUGAUGCAGCCAUGCCGCGUGUAUGAAGAAGGCCUUCGGGUUGUAAAGUACUUUCAGCGGGGAGGAAGGGAGUAAAGUUAAUACCUUUGCUCAUUGACGUUACCCGCAGAAGAAGCACCGGCUAACUCCGUGCCAGCAGCCGCGGUAAUACGGAGGGUGCAAGCGUUAAUCGGAAUUACUGGGCGUAAAGCGCACGCAGGCGGUUUGUUAAGUCAGAUGUGAAAUCCCCGGGCUCAACCUGGGAACUGCAUCUGAUACUGGCAAGCUUGAGUCUCGUAGAGGGGGGUAGAAUUCCAGGUGUAGCGGUGAAAUGCGUAGAGAUCUGGAGGAAUACCGGUGGCGAAGGCGGCCCCCUGGACGAAGACUGACGCUCAGGUGCGAAAGCGUGGGGAGCAAACAGGAUUAGAUACCCUGGUAGUCCACGCCGUAAACGAUGUCGACUUGGAGGUUGUGCCCUUGAGGCGUGGCUUCCGGAGCUAACGCGUUAAGUCGACCGCCUGGGGAGUACGGCCGCAAGGUUAAAACUCAAAUGAAUUGACGGGGGCCCGCACAAGCGGUGGAGCAUGUGGUUUAAUUCGAUGCAACGCGAAGAACCUUACCUGGUCUUGACAUCCACGGAAGUUUUCAGAGAUGAGAAUGUGCCUUCGGGAACCGUGAGACAGGUGCUGCAUGGCUGUCGUCAGCUCGUGUUGUGAAAUGUUGGGUUAAGUCCCGCAACGAGCGCAACCCUUAUCCUUUGUUGCCAGCGGUCCGGCCGGGAACUCAAAGGAGACUGCCAGUGAUAAACUGGAGGAAGGUGGGGAUGACGUCAAGUCAUCAUGGCCCUUACGACCAGGGCUACACACGUGCUACAAUGGCGCAUACAAAGAGAAGCGACCUCGCGAGAGCAAGCGGAUCUCAUAAAGUGCGUCGUAGUCCGGAUUGGAGUCUGCAACUCGACUCCAUGAAGUCGGAAUCGCUAGUAAUCGUGGAUCAGAAUGCCACGGUGAAUACGUUCCCGGGCCUUGUACACACCGCCCGUCACACCAUGGGAGUGGGUUGCAAAAGAAGUAGGUAGCUUAACCUUCGGGAGGGCGCUUACCACUUUGUGAUUCAUGACUGGGGUGAAGUCGUAACAAGGUAACCGUAGGGGAACCUGCGGUUGGAUCACCUCCUUACCUUAAAGAAGC
RNAcentral lists this ribosomal RNA (1554 nucleotides) under Escherichia coli. Its description in RNAcentral is "bacterial SSU rRNA". It matches the Rfam family "Bacterial small subunit ribosomal RNA". The record is from RNAcentral. Lineage: Bacteria; Pseudomonadati; Pseudomonadota; Gammaproteobacteria; Enterobacterales; Enterobacteriaceae.